RNAcentral lists this ribosomal RNA (497 nucleotides) under uncultured bacterium. RNAcentral's name for it is "bacterial SSU rRNA". It matches the Rfam family "Bacterial small subunit ribosomal RNA", at positions 10 to 518 of the family's 1533-position model. The record is from RNAcentral.
AGUUUGAUCCUGGCUCAGAAUGAACGCUGGCGGCGUGCCUCAGGCAUGCAAGUCGUACGAGAAAGUUCCUUCGGGGAUGAGUAAAGUGGCGCACGGGUGAGUAACACCUAGGUAACAUACCUUUUUCGCUGGGGAUAGCUAGGGGAAACUUUAGAUAAUACCGAAUAUUCCUGCUUUUUACUGCGGUUUUUAGCAGGGAAAGUCGCAAGACGCGAAGAGAGUGGCUUGGGUCUCAUUAGCUUGUUGGUGGGGUAAUGGCCUACCAAGGCGACGAUGGGUAGCUGGUCUGAGAGGGCGAUCAGCCACACUGGAACUGGAACACGGUCCAGACUCCUACGGGAGGCAGCAGUCGGGAAUUUUACACAAUGGGGGAAACCCUGAUGUAGCAACGCCGCGUGAGUGAUGAAGGUCUUCGGAUCGUAAAGCUCUUUUAAUAGGAAAGAAAAAAUGACGGUACCUAUAGAAAAAGCACCGGCUAACUCCGUGCCAGCAGCGGC